GAGGGCAUAGCUCAGGGGUAGAGCGUGUGCCUGGCAUGCAUGGAGGUCCUGGUUCAACCCCCAGUACCUCCA
RNAcentral lists this transfer RNA (72 nucleotides) under Camelus bactrianus (Bactrian camel). It matches the Rfam family "tRNA". Rfam says of the family: Transfer RNA (tRNA) molecules are approximately 80 nucleotides in length. Their secondary structure includes four short double-helical elements and three loops (D, anti-codon, and T loops). Further hydrogen bonds mediate the characteristic L-shaped molecular structure. tRNAs have two regions of fundamental functional importance: the anti-codon, which is responsible for specific mRNA codon recognition, and the 3' end, to which the tRNAs corresponding amino acid is attached (by aminoacyl-tRNA synthetases). tRNAs cope with the degeneracy of the genetic code in two manners: having more than one tRNA (with a specific anti-codon) for a particular amino acid; and 'wobble' base-pairing, i.e. permitting non-standard base-pairing at the 3rd anti-codon position. Lineage: Eukaryota; Metazoa; Chordata; Mammalia; Artiodactyla; Camelidae. The record is from Rfam by way of RNAcentral. RNAcentral also lists the same sequence under 2 other names.